UACGAAGGGGGCUAGUGUUGUUCGGAUUUACUGGGCGUAAAGCGCACGUAGGCGGAUCGUUAAGUCGGGGGUGAAAUCCUGGAGCUCAACUCCAGAACUGCCUUCGAUACUGGCGAUCUUGAGUCCGGAAGAGGUGAGUGGAACUCCUAGUGUAGAGGUGGAAUUCGUAGAUAUUAGGAAGAACACCAGUGGCGAAGGCGGCUCACUGGUCCGGUAUUGACGCGUGAGGCGGCGGAAAAGCUAGGGUA
RNAcentral lists this ribosomal RNA (248 nucleotides) under uncultured bacterium. RNAcentral's name for it is "partial 16S ribosomal RNA". It matches the Rfam family "Bacterial small subunit ribosomal RNA", at positions 524 to 767 of the family's 1533-position model. The record is from RNAcentral.